GCUCUGGUACACACCAAGCAAAGAACUUCCUUGGAUGGUUGAUAGAGUUAAUGUAUUCAAAGGAAAACCUGUGUAGAGAACGGAGUACAGAACUGAUGUCCUGUCAUUAUGAUGUCUUACUUUCUUUGGAUUUCAAGUUAAUCACAGCUGAGUUCAGGUUUACAAGGAGAAAGAGAUGCUCAGUAUCUCAAAGGAUGUGCCAACCAAUUCAGUCUGUGUAUUUCUAAAUCAGGAAAAACUUGUGAUGGUACCAGAGCAGCUAGAGACUAUCCAAGUUAAAGACAAAAUGAACAGUAGACAAGAAGAAUCCUGGUGUUCAGUUUAUCUGCCUACAAGAAAACCAGUAAUUUCUGCAACUCACAGCUCUGAUUUUUCUCCUGAUACACACAACUCUGCUUUCUCCACAUUGCCUUCAUAUUUUAGUCUUCCAGAAAGUCCGGAAGCCCUGUGUUUAGAAUUAAUAUCUUUCCUUGGGAAUAAAUCAUGUUUCACAUGUAAGUACUACACUGACAUGCAUUUGAUUACCAGAUGUUCAUAUUUUGAAUAUUGUAUUUUUGUAAUGACAUCUCCAAGAAACAGUAUCCUAGUUACAACUGUAAUGUAGAGGUACUCUGUGAAUAUUUUAUGACACUGCUCAUGGAAGAUCCCCCUAUAUGUCUUCUAUAUCUCAGUUUCAUGGUGAAUCAAUUGUGCAAUUGUUGAACAAGUUUUUUCUAGUCAUUAUAAUUAAAUUUACUAGUACUAAGCCUCAGGUCUCAUUGCUACAGUGUAAAUAAUUAUACACAAUUUUUCUUCUUGUGAGAAUACCUGUUAAAAAUACAAACUCAACUUCAAGAGAUUUUUUUUUACUACUGUUUUUAGUUUUAUUUUACAUGUAUGCAAUUUCAGUAGAAAUGUGGAAAGGUAUAAUUUUGCAAGACUAAAAUAUUCUAGUGGGAAAAUGUUGUAUUUGCAUUUUUCCUAUCAUGCAUAUGUGUGUUAAGAUAACAUUCGGAUUUACCAUAUUAAUAUAAUAUGAG
RNAcentral lists this long non-coding RNA (1019 nucleotides) under Meleagris gallopavo (turkey). RNAcentral's name for it is "lncRNA (ENSMGAG00000021451.1)". The record is from RNAcentral. Lineage: Eukaryota; Metazoa; Chordata; Aves; Galliformes; Phasianidae.